Micropterus dolomieu (smallmouth bass) is the source of this 1756-nucleotide long non-coding RNA. RefSeq lists it as uncharacterized. The transcript has 2 exons. Lineage: Eukaryota; Metazoa; Chordata; Actinopteri; Centrarchiformes; Centrarchidae. The record is from RefSeq and is a predicted model, not a curated record.
UGUAUUAAUAUCAGACAUGAAACUCACUAGCCCCCUAUUAAGAUACACUUACUGUCUGGGCAUUUAUUUUGAGAAACUAGGUCCAGCCCUAGUUUCCUGUUAACGUACAGUGAGCAUUCAGGGUUUUUAUUUAGAGCCUCAUCCUGAGCUUCUUAUAGUUACUGUGUGCAUGCAUCAGUACAUAAUCAUUUGGUGUGCCCUUGCUGUUUGGUGGAGGAGCUAUUGGCUUAUUGCUGUAUAUUUUUACAUUGAUUAUUGUUGUGUGCUGUAGCUGACGGGGGCAUACAAUGACAAUGCAGCAGCCUAGGUCUCAGUGUAGACAGGCAGUAGUUACAUACUAUAAGACCAGCUAUAUUACACGUUUGUAGUCUGUAUUUACUGUAUCUUUCUAUGCAGGAUGAACUUGACGAAGCCGUCAACACAUGGAAUUCACACAAAAUCAGACAACGUGCAAGUGAUGGCGCAGCCUCAGGUCGGCCAUUUGUGAUGUACUCAUUCCCAGAGUUGCACAGUGCUGAAGAUAGACUCAAACCUAUUGCCAUGGAGGAGGUCACUUUGUGUAUGGAAGAGUGUACUCCCAAAGGCCAGUUUCCAUGCGAUGAAACGGUUUUUGAACUGUGUUGUCUACUAAUGGAGGAACAUGGAUGGGAUGCUCCAGCAGAUCCACUUGCUGCAGCUGAUCUGUACAUCAUUUUAAGAGAGGAAAUACAGGAAAAUAUUUGAAUGGAUCAUGUCCAUUAGGUAUUGGCCCUCCUCUUCGCCCCACUCAUCACUGCCUCUCCAUUCAACUGACAUGUUUUGGAUCACAAAAGACAUCCAGAAAGGGAGGAUCAGCUACUCCAACUUCUCAGGGACCUAAGGACCAUGCCCAAAGCCAUGGUGAAGAUGUUGGGGUGACCUGAACUGUUUGUAUUACAUCGUCCCAACCAAAUUAUUCAGCAUUGCUGUCAGUUAGCUUUUCAACAGUUGAAUAUUUGGGAUACAUCUAAGUACAUGAAGACAUAAAAGGAUAAUAUGGACAUCAAGAAUCUCUAGAGAACUGUCUACUGCUAUGGUGGAGAGAACAGUGUAAUCUAUCAUUUGUUAUUCAUCAGUGUGAUUAUUCAUGGGUAUAACAUACCUAAACAAUUUUGAGAAUGUAAGGGUGGCAUGUCUGAACUCUUUGUGAUUCAGAAAUCUGAUUUGGUUCCAACCAAGCUAAUAUCGAAAGGUUUAGGUGAAGUUUGAAAGAAAACUACAACUACAUUUUUAUAAACAGGCAAUAAGUGAAAUAUUUUUUAAGAAAUACACUGAUGGAAAAAUGGGGACAAAUGAAUGUAUUAAGUACUAUUCUGUAUGCAGUGAGGAUAUUUGAGGAAUAAACUGUGUGUGUAAAGCUUUUAAGCAGUGGAACAACUUAAUUAAACAUGAGAUGGUUAAAAACAACUAGUAUUGUUCUACGUUAUAUAUCAGAAGUAUUUUGCUAAAAAUGUAUCAAUAAAAAUAUAGGCUUUCAUAUUCUAUAUAUUCCUUAGAAAUGUCUGACCCUCAGCAGCACCAUUUUCAGGUGUUUUUUCUGCAUCUUUAAAUGACUUGUAAAUGAAUGAAUGUAAAUUCAGAGCCUUAUUCUCACAAUGACUACACAAUGCAGUGUGUAUUACUGUCCACACACUUCUUUCAUAAUUAUUUUUAUUGCCAGCUGAUUUGUGUCCAAUAUGAAUACUACAACAUAUAAAAUGCUUAGUAACAUUCUCAAAUAAAUGUAUUUUAAACCUUA